Molecule: small nuclear RNA, 107 nt
Organism: Rhinolophus ferrumequinum (greater horseshoe bat)
Lineage: Eukaryota; Metazoa; Chordata; Mammalia; Chiroptera; Rhinolophidae
Source: Ensembl
GUGUUCACUUUGGCAGCAGAUAUAGUAAAACUGGAACAAUAAGGAGAAGAUUAGCAUGGUUCCUGUGCAAAGACUGCAUGCAAAUUUGUGAAGCAUUCCAUAUUUCU